Coturnix japonica (Japanese quail) is the source of this 9631-nucleotide non-coding RNA. NCBI's taxonomy places the organism in Eukaryota, Metazoa, Chordata, Aves, Galliformes, Phasianidae. The record is from RefSeq and is a predicted model, not a curated record.
GGGCUACUACCACGGCUCGCUCUCUCCCAGGGGUCACAGUACUGGCCCGGUAUCUGCCCAGCAGUACACGCCAGCCUCGACUAGACUAAGAUCUCCAUCAAUGCAGAAACUGGAUGUUUGCCUUAAAGACAAAAUGUAUUUGAAAUUUCAGUGCUGCUAUUGGAGCGAUCAUUUUCAAUGAACCUUCUGGGCUUUUUUGAAGACGAUAAAAAUCUCACCUGAAAGAUCCUUCAUCACAACGUAAUGUCCAGAUCUCUUUUGUGCCUUCUCUCCCACAGCAACAAGCCCUAGACAAAACAUGAAGUUUGUGUAUGUGAUUCUCACCUUACUUAUGAAAAUACAGAAAUCAUAAUGCAUGACAUGUAUCAGUGGAGACAAAACAUGGUGACAUCAUACAAAUGCCCUUUCAGAAUUCUUUCAAAUUUCCCUUUCAUCCCACAUUUUUUCUUCCUCUAUGCUACAGACCCAUUCUUAUGAGUGCUCCAGUAAGAUUUUACACAACCAGCUAGAAGAUUUUGGGUAGUCUUAUGCAAGUCAGGAAACAUCUCGUUUUCCAAACCCCCCUUUGGAGAAAUACUGAACAAGAGAUAAAAGAGAUCUUCUUGCUCAGUACUAACAUGUGUUGUGUAACCCAAAAGCGAUCCAAAAUCUUAACAGUUUGCCUACAACAUACUAGGCAUGUGAAGUAUUUCUGUUAGACUAUAUAAACCAUACCUAGCAUGUCCUUUUAUCAUAUGAAACAGUAGCAUCACUUCCACUGUGCUUUCUUUAUUUAGGGGUAUUCAAAUAUUUAUCUUUCAUGCCCAAGUUCACAGCCUAAUUACAGUGAUUUCAGUCACACUGAAAUAUGAAGAACCAGAAAAACAUACAACUGGGCCCAGGAGGAGUAACCAGAGGACAAGUUUCAGUGGAAGCCACUGUGAAACACAGAAGCCAAACACUUUUGUUUUUGAAUUAUUGCAAGAGCAAAGGAUGAAGCAUAACAACUGUCAAAAACAUACUAAAUACCAAUAACUACACCAUACUUACCAAGACACUCCUGUUUCUUUCUAUUCAUUUUGCCCUUACCUUAAAUACCUGUAACUGAACUAAAUAUGUAGUGAAUGGUGGUUCAAAACUUCUCAAGACUUCAUUCCUUCAGUAUUGCUUUGUUCCUUACCUCUUUGUUUCUGUUUCUUGCUUUGAUGAACAAAGACAUGGAGAUACUGCACUUGUUUCCAGUUCCUUCCCUGUUCCUUCAACUUUUUUUUUUGUUCACUUAUUUGUUUUACUUGAAAAGAAAGCCUUUCUCUCCUUACCAGAUUUUCAUCCCAAACAAAAAGCUCUUGCUUCAUUCAUCUGCAUUAAUACUGCUUUUUCCCUCCCUCCACAUCACCAUCACAUUCUCCACAUCUCACCCCUGGAAGCUCAGGAUAAAUACUCAGAAAGGCUGCAACAGACUCCAAUUAGUUCUGCUAUUUGCUGAGAGCUGGUGCACCAGGCUUCUUCAAACAGAAACAACAGCAACUUAACGGACGACAUCAAAGCACAAGAAUGUUUCUGUUUCAAUGCUGUCUCUCAGAGGAUCACAGAUGUGACCUGAUGUCCAGAAAAAAGAAGGUCUAAUGGAAAACCAUGGCACAGGCAGACCUUCUGAUUCUUAGUACAACCCACUUAAUAGUUCCUCAGCAAACUGCUUGUUCCCAUAUCUAAAAACAAUAUUUUUCUUUAGGGAUAAGUUCUAAAAACAUGGAGGUUUCUGUCUGGCUUGUGUUUUGAACUAGUUGGGGUUUGGUUUUGGUUGUGUGUUUGUUAUUUCUUUGCUUUGUUCUUAAAUAAUCUGGUCACUUACUGACAGACCUUGUAGAAAAACUUCCAUCUUCUAGUGGCAUACGUAUACCAAGUGGCUUCUUCCAAAGUCUUUAAGAGCCCUUAGGCCUCCACGCUGAACUUAAGAAGGUUUGACUUUCUACACAUGUAAACACUAAAGAACACUUGUGUAUGAAGAAGUUCUUCACCUACUUGCCUUGAAUAUAUAUAUAGUCACUGUUCAGCUACUCCUUUACAACGCAUGAAGCCCUUGCUUCUCCAUAAUGCAAGCUGUCACUUACUAGUGUUGGGCCAAGUAUAAAUUCUAAGUAUUCCACAUCAACAUAACACAUUCAGAUUUUUUUUGUGAAAGUAAUAAAACAUUUCAUCUAUUAAAAACAUAAUAUAUUAUAAAUAGAUAAAAAUUAAGCAAAACUCAUCCAUCAUGAGGGUUAACAGUAAUUACAGAUGAAUCUACCACAUGCCAGAGACUGCCCUCUUUUAGUUCCAUCUCACCACCUCCCCGUGUUACUAAGCAGACACCAAGCUCUGUUACAGACUGCCCAGCACAAUGCAGAUCUGAUCCUGCCUCACACCUUAUGGUUUGACCCUUGAAAUUUCAACUGAAAAUUCCACAAGCACUGGGGAGAUCUCUAUCUGAAACCAUAUGAAGACCCUGGUAUACACUUUCUAAGAUGUGAAACUUGAGCUGUAACAGAGCUGCGUAGCACAAAAAUUGUUUUAAUUUAUGAAACAGUCACAGGCUGUGCAACAAUACUGCCUCUUCCCUGUGAUGUGACAUGAUGCAAGCAAUACAAUUAAUAGAGCUAAUUCUUCCCUCCUCAUCACAAAAAUUCACUGCUGUGUUAUAAAGGCUGUUUAAAAAAAUAAUAUUCAAACUGACCAUUCUCUUUUUCUUCCCUCUGACUGAUAUUCAUAAAACUACACUGAAAGAAGUCUUACCAGCACAAGACAGCACCUACAAAGACCAGAGCAACUGAGUAACAGUCAGAACGCUUUUCUAAUAAUUUCUUGGUAUUCACUGUCACCAGAGUAUCUUUUCCCACUUUAAGCAAAAAGGUUGCAAAGAAAAACAGCUGAAAAGCAAGUCUGCACGUUGUUCACGCUAAACUGAAAUGUACGUAUUAUUGUGUUCUGCAUUUUCAAACUGUUGCACUUCUGUUUAUAAAAUUGUAUUAUACUACUAGGUCUUAAGAACUUGGAAAGCUAUAGGUAUUUUCCUAACUUAAGAUUCCUCUUGUUCCACCUUUAUAUUCAAACUGAAUUAUUUAAUAUUUUAACCACUGGUCUGAUCAACCCAGCAGUACUAUCUCUGUACUGAGAUCCAGCAUCUCUAUAAAUAAACUUCCUGACGUUUGCACUUUUAUGCUUUGUUUUCUUCUAAGCUCAAUUAUGAGCACUGACUGAAGUGGGCACAAAUCCAUAAUUCAAAGCAUUUCAUGCUUUCAUAUUAGUUGUGAUCUAUGUAAUAUGUUAAAAGAUUUGGGAUUUUUUACUUUUUGUUUUCACUGUUUUUAAUAUUGAGGAGAGAAACCAUAAGGAUGAUUUCUGCAGUCAAUGUUAAUUUGUUUACUUUGAUAACAUGCACGACUGAGUAAUUAAAUGAUAAAUUCCACAUACUUUAUUUGAAGUUUUAAAAAUCUCUGUAGGCAUUUCAGAUGGAAAGCCUUUCAUAAACACCUCCUCUAAAUACAGACAUCACAUGGAAUAUGCUGACAAGAUGGCCACCUGUCUAAAUCAUGUUGUCAGUUAAGAAGCAGCUCACUGCCUGCAAGUGAAAGGCUUAUUCUCUUCAAUCAGAUGAGGCAAGUGCAACAGUUUUCCACCUGUGGCCAUGAACUUUAUAAAGGAGAGGAAAUAAAGGAGAGGAAAUAAUAUAAAGGAGGAGAAAUAAUAAAUGAAAGCAAGCAAGGAAACUUCACUGCAAUCGAGCAGAGGCAGCUGUAACACGAUCAGACUGGGAAAUAGAAAAGCAGUUAGAUCAGAUUUCUAGGAAAGUAAACAAACCAUUUGGAAGAGCUAAAAAUCCAUGCAACAUUCUCUUCAUGAAAGGACUUCAGCUGUCGACACAGUUUAAAGACAAUCAAGCAUUCCACCUUCUACCCUGCCCCAUUUCUGCUUCAGCCACUUCCUCUAGGCCAACCACAAUGGCUUUUGAACCAUUUAUUUCCCUGUCCUUGCCUUCUCUAUACUUCCAAUUGAAGUGUACCUCCUGUUUAAGAACCACAUAGAAAUACUUUUUCAAGAGGAAGGCGAAGGUUAAGGGAAGUAAAUGAACUUCUCAAAGAGUUAACCAGUGACAGGACCUACAAAAGCAGUACAGGCCUAGAAAAACCAGUCAUUGUUUUUGCAGGGAAGCUGUACCUAGAAGCUUAAUAUUUUCAAGUUAUUUUGCCUACCUUCAAAAGAAGCCUAAGUUUAUACUAUCAUAAAUCACUUAAGGAAGUGCUUACCUUUUCGAUCAGUCUUAAAAUCAACCAUAAUAGGCUCGACACUGCCUUCUUUGUUUUUUCCAAGCCCUUCUCCUUCUCUCCAGCCCAUUUUUCUCAUCAGCUGAGCUCCCAUUCCUCCAGUUACAGGGGCUGCUCUUAAGAACUGAUCCUAUCCAGAAAAAGAGAAGUAAAACAAAUCCUAAAGUUAGGACUGGGUUUUUAGAAACCAAGCAGGAGCUUCCAAAAACGUUUCUAACAACCUUUCACAGUCUCAAUUCAGAAAAAUACACCUUAGCUUUAUAUACAGCUGUAUAAACCAAAAUUCACGCAGACACACAAUACACAAAUCAGUAUCUUCAAAAAAGAACAACUUAAGAAAAUUCUAACACAAUCCGAAAGUGGCAAGUGACCCAUUUCCGACGUAUGUACUUAUUAAAACAAUAACCGUUCAUUUCUAAACACACUACUUUGGUUCCAGUGCAUCUCUUCUCAUCUUGUGAAUGGAGGCAGUGUUUUAACUGUUUAACUGGCAACAAUCAUGCCAAGUGUACCUAUUUAUUGAACAAAAUACAAGCACAUUUAGUAAUGACAUACAAAUAAGUGUUUACACGUAUUUUAAAUAUAAAAAAAAAAUCCCCGUUUUAUUAUACAGCAGUUGCACAUUCAAGUUCUACUCUGAAAAUCCACAUGACACAGAUACAGGUUUCUCUUUCCUCUUUUUUUAAAGGCAAAAAGGCGCUUAGCCACACAGUUUAGCAGCAGCAGUCGUCACAUUCUUUCAAAUCAAAAUUAAUACAAUAGUCGUUAACUGUUGAAAGCUUAUAAACAGAAAUCUUAAAAAUCUGUUUUGAUGUAAAGAACUUUAAAAACUCCUUAAAUGUUUACGUACCUAGGCCUCGAUGGCCGCAGUGUUGUGAAUAGUAGGGCUGGCAUUGACCGUGGCAAGAAGGCAGCUACAAGGAUUUGACCCUGAAACAAGUUUCCAUAUAGAGGGGUGAAAGUUCACAGGUUAUUCUGUGAACUAUCAUCUCUCUUCUGCCCCACCCGCUGACCCAAGUAAGUAAGUCAAUCAUUUCCAUCACAGCAAAAAAUUGCUUGGCUUAAAAUAUACAAGUUUACACACUGGCACUGAUAAGUCCAUCAGGUAUUUCUCAUAGUAGGUUAGAGGAUACAAUGCCUAAUAUUUUUGUAGAAUUUUCACUUACUUCCAAAGCAAAUUAAUAGAACCUUUUUUUUUCCUUUAUUUUUGAGUUUUGCUUGCAAAAGUAAGAAUUUCUAAGAUUUGGACAAAAACUGAUUGAGUUCCUUGGUUUCAAUUUGUAUGUAAACAAAAAUCAGAAGUCUUACUUUUGCAGAGACCAAGGAUAAUAUUUUUUUUAAGGGGAUUAACUGUCCAUUAUUUGCAACUGACACACACUAAUGAUGCAUGUGUGAAAUCCCCACUAUCCAAUGGUGGUAGGAAGUUUAAAAAAUAAAAAUAAUUAAAAAAUAAAUCCUUAAGAUUGAAGUAAGACUUCUCUGAAUAUUCACCUAUUGAACAGUGAAGUAAAUUCCUAUCAAUCAUGCAACUGGAUGCUGGGUGGUUUAAUAUCAAUGUGUUCUGGUGGAAGAGUAAAGAGGUUAAGCUCACAUCUCCCAUGAAAAUCCUUUUUUGACUGGUGCAGACCAUGCAGUGUGCGUGUACAGAGACAAUUGGUCCUUCGAUACAGACUGCCUCAAGCUAUAAGCCUAGAGUAGCUUUUACUUACUUCCAUUUUCAUCCUCCCCUCUCUUUUCCAGGAACCUCUCAUAAGAAAAGGGCAACCAUGCCGAGAAUGAUACAAACCCCAGUCAAUGUCACCCUGGGUUCCGAUUCCUCUUUUGUACCUGCUUUGCAAUAGUAGAAUUUACAAUACGAAUAUCUGUUUCAUUACCACCAGUGUGUACGCAGUUCACAAGUGAAAGAGUUCAAUUUCUCAGUGAGGCCCUUUUAGCUUUCCCAGCACACCUUCCAAGGCAGUAACUUGGAGGUCAAAGGUAGUGUGCAAAGAAAAACAAUCAAAAUAGUGCUAUUCAGAGUCAAAAAUUAAAUCACUGAGCUCCUACAUUAGAAAUUAUCAGAGAUCAAAUCAAUUCCAAAUACUGGAAAUAACCAGUUUUUAAUUCUAAAAUGUAGUUCAUUAAAAAAAAAAACUUUAAAAACAAAAUCUAAAAAACAAAACCACAUGUGUCCUAGCGUUCCUACCGGAUAAUUUAAAUACCAAUUUUUACAUAUGCUAACUCUUUAACAUGCACAGCAUAACCAACACAACAAGUGAUUAGAAAUGAUUGGGUUUUGUUUCAUUCAGAACGUUUUGUUUCAUUACAGAACAGCCAUAGUUGUGCAUCACGUUGCAAGGCUAAACAAAGGAAUUCUACCAGCAAUAUGAAGGGAGCAUGGAGAAGCUUACUUUGGUUCAGGUUACUGAUGAAGCCGAGAAGGCUUUGAGCUGGGAAAAAGAGAGUUCCUCAAAACUUUAUUUUUUAAAUAACAAGUAUGAAUCUCCAAUGCCAUCUGUACAAUUAUAUUCUGUGUACCUCUUUUCUCUCACAAGUUAAUACAGAUGUGUUUACUCAUUCCAUGGUUUAGCGGAAUAUGAGUAAUGACAUUUGAAACUGUAAAAAUACUAUAAUGUUAAUAAAAAAGUAGAGAAAUAAGAUCUUUUCAGUUUUAAAAGCCAUAGAAGGAUUUGUCCCAGACGUACCUGAUAGUGAGGUACCUCUGCAGCUCCAGCCCAUAAGGAGGAUAUCGAGUAGCAUCUAGUACAACUAACUACAAGUUUCUAAGUUACUGGUAUCAGAACGAAAUAAUUGGUCAGAAAGUAACUAUAAUCUUUCUAAUACCAAUUCUAGCAGAGCAGCAUGAAAAUGUGAUGUAAUUCUUUUGUAUUGAAUUCCAUGAUGUCAGACAAAUAAAGCACAAUUCUGUUCUGCCAGCAGAUGGAGACAACUAAUAAGCCAAAUUCUUGCGCCGUUACCUUUUCUUUAUAAAGCAGGCUACACAGUGAAACCUGAUCAUUUCAGAGUUUUUUUCAGUAAUUCUAAGUAAAAAUUGUGCCUGUUUUUAAACUACAUUAGGGCAAUAUACCAGGAGAGAGGGCAGAAAUCAACAUUACUAGCAAAAUAACCCAUGAAUGUCUGAAUUACCAUGCAAGGGCUUUAAUGGGGGAAGAGGGGGAGAGAAGAGAAAAAUGGUUUUACAGCCUUUUGAAGAAAGAUGCUGCAAGUUGGACAGUCACCAUUAUUUGACUGCAACACCUGUCUCUGAAUAAAGCAUAACAUAUAGCAUCAAAUGGAAUAAUCUCUAAAACAGCACUCACAAUGUUCAAAACAUUAAAGCCACGAAUAUUUGAGAGAUCUUAAUGAACAUUAUCAUCUGCUGUUGCUUCGAGAAGAAAAUAUCCUUCUCACAAAGCUGACAUGGCACUAAAGCCCAAGCUCUCUGCUAGAAGGAGGGUUUCUCUCUUUUGAGCAAUUAUUUAUUAAACAUAACACAAUACAGCCUUAAAGGCUCAUAGUUGGACCCUUUCAGCUGUAGGUCGAUGGGCUGCCUGUGAGAUUACUCUAAGAAUGACUCCACAGAACUUAUAAGCACAGUACAAGUAUGUGAGAAGCAAGGUGAAACUUGCACCGCAGCUGAGGAUUCCACGACUCUAAUGUUUUCAGCAGCAGCCACAAUCCUUCUCUGACACAAGAGGGAGAUAAGGCUCUGGGCAGCCUGGUCUGGUGGUUGGUGACCCUGCACAUAGCAGGGGGGCUGAAACUGGAUGAUCAUUGUGGUCCUUUGCAACCCAGGCUGUUUCAUGAUUCUGUGAUAUAUUCCUGAAGAAUCCCUACAAAUGCCUUGCAAGGACUCAGCUUUAGAAAUUUUCUUAACAGCUUAUGCAUACAAUGAAUAGAAACCAAUUUGUGGUUAACUGAAAAUAAAUAAAUAAAUAAAUAAAUCAUUUUUCUCUGACGAAGCAGAGGCCAGUCCAAUGUAACCAGCACAUGGUUGAUUUGCCUUGCCAUCUGGCCUUCAAUUCCAAAUAAAGCUCAUUGUGUCAUGCAAGGCACUAAGAAUAUCAACAUUCUGAUAGACUGCCUUGCUGGAAGGAGAGCUUCGCAAGACACAUGUCAGUACUCGUGUGUAAGCAAUAAUCACAAGAUUUAGUUUAAACUCUAUCAUUAGUGUUUUAUUCAUUUGCAGUGACUAGUCAGUGAAAUAAGGGAAUAAAGGAUUUAACUUUUCAGCACUGGGUACACAAAACAUAACAUUCUAGCAGCCACUGUAAAACUGUGUGGCAUGCCUUAGCACAACCAAAUGAAACAAAUCCCAAGCAUUACACUGUGCAUGUAAAAUGUUAUAAAAACUUCCUUCUGGAGAGCAAAUUUAGGCUAUUAGAAAUAAGCUGGUAAAUACAGAAAAGCAGGGGGUGACUCGGCAAAAGUCUGAGUAAGCAGACCUCAAGAGAACUCGCCUGGAAAAAAAUCCGACCACUUCCAUGAAUUUGUCAUUUAUCCAGCAACACUAUGCAUUUGUUUAAAAACAAAAAGAAAAAAGCUAAAAAACCAAACAGAACCCCCGAAACAAAUUGUAUUUGUGAACUGAUUACACCAGUGAUGAUAAACUGAAACAGAAAUCACGUUUCAGAAGAAAAAGAUAAGAUGGUUCAUAAGUCUUUGAAGAUACGAGAAGCCUAACAAAGUAUUAUUUGAUUAUGAAUACUGCUCAGAAUUCUAGUAAUCAACAUCACAAACUUUAUUACCUUACUUCUAACUGGUGUGUCGCUCAUUUGAAUGUGUCACAUUAACCGCUUCAACAGCUAAGGCCCUCAAAAUCUUGUUGAGGUAGAACUAAAAUUUGCAGGCAUUUUUGUUUGAGUACAUAUUACCUCUCCAGCGUCAUUUUUAAAAGGAAGCAAUAAUAAAAUAAUAGAAAAAGAAAUAUGCUAAAACCCAGGAAAUGCAAAGUGAUGAAAGCAUCUUUCAAACAAGUUCCCUGAGUACUUCAAUUUUAUUCCCCUCCUGAUACUGCUCAUAUAUUUUAUUACUGCUACCUUCUUUAGCCCAUUUCUCUGUUAAGCAAUGUCUGUACAUGCAGACAGAUUUCCUGUGUAUAUGGAUAAACAACACCUAGCUGGCACAGGCUCUGUUUCUUCUAAACAGUCCAUGACCAUGAGACCUCUCAUAGCAAGUGCUUAUGGCUACCCCCUAAGAAAAAUGCCUUCAGUAAGCCACAUCUUUAGUCAGAAACGUGCAUUAAUUUACACUUGCCACAUAACUCAAGAAAAAUCACAGCCCUACUGGUAGAUGAAGUUUACAAAUACCUUUGUUUUCUACUGUUAAAAAUACAUUAUUUUCUUAGGACAAAAAAAAAAAAAAAAAAAAAA